Molecule: ribosomal RNA, 118 nt
Filed under: Castor canadensis (American beaver)
Lineage: Eukaryota; Metazoa; Chordata; Mammalia; Rodentia; Castoridae
Source: RNAcentral
GUGUGGGGCCAGACCACACUUAAUGUGCCCAAUCUCUUCUGACAGUGGAAGCUAAGCAGUGUCGGGGAUGGUUAGCACUUGAAUGGGAGUACAUGACAAAGUUUAACAACACUAUACA